Molecule: long non-coding RNA, 740 nt
Organism: Bos indicus x Bos taurus (hybrid cattle)
Lineage: Eukaryota; Metazoa; Chordata; Mammalia; Artiodactyla; Bovidae
Source: Ensembl
AGUGAGAGGGGAGGCCCGUCGAGGGUUGCCUGGACCCCAGAGGCUCAGGGAGCUCAGAAUCAGGGAUGGGCUCCCUGGAAGCAGGUGAGGCUGAGUGUGUGCCCAAGAGUGGCUGGUGACAGGCCUGGGCAGUGAUUGCAGGCCUGAGAGGGUGAUGAGGAGCUAGUGUGGGAGCCUGGAGGAGGAGGCCGUGCCCCGGCCCUCCCCUGUGUUACUGCAUUUCAGGUUGGCUGCGUCUCUGUAAGCUCCAGGAGUCAAGCCUGGCCAUGAGGUGAAGACCGAGAAACCCCCUCCACACACAGCACUUGUCCGGACCCUCAGGGCCAGGAGGUGGAGAUUUAGGAAGGCAGCAGGGUUCACCGUUCUCAAAUCUGCAUCCCAAGCAAACCACAAGAAACCUUCACAUGCAGUUCCUGUUGCUCUCGGAUCCCUGCCCAGCCUGACCCAUGGCGCCUUUUCGUCAGGAGCACCGCCUUCCACGGGCACUCACCUGGCUCGCGGUGUGGAUCCAGGACACCGUGGGGACACGGCUGCUGAGCUGGUGCCUGCCUGCCUCACGCCCUCACCCGAGCUCAGCCCAGCCUGGCCAGGCCCAGCAGAGUCGAGGGAGGAGACGGCCUACAGACAGAGCCUGGAAGGAAGUGUUUAAUCUUCAGGAGGAAGAGAAAGUAAUGCCUCCGAAGCAAUGUGCAGGGAGGGAGCCCCUGAAAUUCUCUGAGCUAAUGAAUACCCCCUGGACA